AAGGGAGACCUAAUUCAGGUAGGAGACGAAAAAAAAGUAGUCGCUACCAAGAAUCAAUCCCAAAAGGUCGGAGCGAGGCGAAAUUGGCUUUCAAACUAGGUUCUGGGUUCACACAAGACCUGAAUCAGGAACAAGGGCUAUUAGCUCAGGUGGUUAGAGCGCACCCCUGAUAAGGGUGAGGUCCCUGGUUCGAGUCCAGGAUGGCCCACCUGUACAGGUGGCAAAAAGAAAGAAAAGAAGCGAGGAAUCAGCACCUUAUCUUACUUACAUAGUAAGAGAGAAUGCUGGCUCUGAGUAAAGAGUCCAGAGGAACCUUGAAAACUGCAUAGAGCUAGGUGAAAAAGCCAAAAAAGAAGACCGCAA
This 363-nucleotide transfer RNA is filed under the name uncultured Microcystis sp. RNAcentral's name for it is "partial 16S-23S ribosomal RNA intergenic spacer". The stretch from base 135 to 208 matches the Rfam family "tRNA". Lineage: Bacteria; Bacillati; Cyanobacteriota; Cyanophyceae; Chroococcales; Microcystaceae. The record is from RNAcentral.